GCAUAACGCGAAGAACCUUACCAGGGCUUGACAUCCCUCUGACCGGUGUAGAGAUAUACCUUUCCCUUCGGGGACAGAGGUGACAGGUGGUGCAUGGUUGUCGUCAGCUCGUGUCGUGAGAUGUUGGGUUAAGUCCCGCAACGAGCGCAACCCUUGCCUUUAGUUGCCAGCAUUAAGUUGGGCACUCUAGAGGGACUGCCGAUGACAAAUCGGAGGAAGGUGGGGAUGACGUCAAAUCAUCAUGCCCUUUAUGUCCUGGGCUACACACGUGCUACAAUGGUCGGUACAACGAGCAGCGACCUAGCGAUAGGAAGCGAAUCUCUUAAAGCCGAUCCCAGUUCGGAUUGCAGGCUGCAACUCGCCUGCAUGAAGUCGGAGUUGCUAGUAAUCGCGGAUCAGAAUGCCGCGGUGAAUGCGUUCCCGGGUCUUGUACACACCG
This 439-nucleotide ribosomal RNA is filed under the name uncultured bacterium. RNAcentral's name for it is "bacterial SSU rRNA". It matches the Rfam family "Bacterial small subunit ribosomal RNA", at positions 954 to 1392 of the family's 1533-position model. The record is from RNAcentral.